GCGGCCGCGGCAGCAACAAGCGGCUGCUCGUGAGUCGGCGGCUCGCACACCCGGGCCGCUCACCCUCGCCGCGCGAACACCCGAGUGGGCGUCCCGAGGUGGGGGUACGGGGCUCGAGCCUGGGUUCCGGGCCAUACGCUGGCGGCGGUAGGAGGAGCGGGCAGGGCCCUUCUGGCAAGAGUGCUUCAACCCAGAGCCACCCAAUAGACCCACAAUGGAGACACUUUUAAGCAGGCUGGCAUUUCACUUCCCUAUAAAAUCCUCCUUCUCUCCCUGCGGGAAAGGCUCAUCAUAGCACUUUCUGUGUAUCUCCACUACCUGAGAGGUUCUCCUCUUCACCCUGAUGAAGUCUCCUACAGCAUCUUAUAGAACCAACGUGGCUUUCCUCCAGGCAGGUUGGAUGCACUCACAGGAGGGAGGCAAGCAGCUGGUGGAGUCCAGCCCACUGAGUACACGUUGACAAAGUGCUGUGCGCGUUUCUGCUCGACAUUACUUGUACGUCCAUGACAUACGGCACAGAAAAGUACGUCGGGAAAAGUAGGGGCCUUAGUCCAGUUCUCUCUGUAUCUCUUCUGAAGGAUUAGUCACUGACUGACAGAUGUCUGUUACAUCAACAUGAGAGUUCAUCAGUCAAGCACAAAAGUAAACAAUUCCAACAAAGCAUAGCAAGGUUAACAGAGGAAAGGUUCAGGCUUCCCAGGUAGUGGGGUUUGAGCUGUACCUUAAAGAAUAGUUACACAUAAAUGAGUAAUUAAAAAUAGAUGUGUGUGUGUGCGUGUGUGUAUACUUAAUAGCCAGUUUUAAAAAUCAUUCCCAGAAGCUUUCAGACUUUAAAAUGUCCUCUCAUCCCACGCAGAACAGCCAUCUAACAAACUCAUAUGGUCCUAUAGUCCAGGCCAGUUCUGUGUUUAGGCCAAAGGGAUUUUGUUGAAUUGUACAUUAAAUAUAUUGGUAUGGUUAGGAAACUAGCUUUUUCAAUUAAAAAUUGGAUAUGGGGCAGGGGUGGUGGGGAGAAAGAUUCCUACAUCCAACAUGUGGAAGAAGUAUGUUCAUUUAAUAAGAUCGCUACGGCAGCUCUUUGGCCUCUAAAGCUAUAGGCUGAGAACUAUUUCCUCGUGAUACCUUGAUUCCGUAGGAAUGAAAGAGAAAGAUGACAGUCACCAGAUCAUUGCCUACAGAUGCGAAUUCCUUGGAUUCUCUGAGGUUAGGGUGUCCAUCAGGGGACUGGCUGAUGUAAUGCCCUGGGCCUGUCCAUGGCCACGUUCAGGAUGUACAGAACAGGAGCCUCAAGUUAUUUGUUAAUUCAGCAUUCCACUUACAAGUUACUUUAAUUACAUGCCUAUGACUAUUCCAUGAUACCAGACAGCUGGUGAAAACUGAAGAAGGAAAAAAAUCUAAUGUCCAGAUGUUUAGCCCGUGGUCAUGUAGGCGAAACACCUGUGCACUCAACUAGUAUUUUGUCCAGAUGUUUGAUGACCUCUAACCCUUUAUCUAUAUAGUUUAUUUCUUCCAGUAGCCAGUAGAUUAAAAUUUAAUUUAUCUCCAAGUUUAGGCUUUAAUGAAACAAAAAUAAAGGAAUUAUA
Hippopotamus amphibius kiboko is the source of this 1583-nucleotide long non-coding RNA. RefSeq lists it as uncharacterized. The transcript is spliced from 3 exons. NCBI's taxonomy places the organism in Eukaryota, Metazoa, Chordata, Mammalia, Artiodactyla, Hippopotamidae. The record is from RefSeq and is a predicted model, not a curated record.